RNAcentral lists this ribosomal RNA (726 nucleotides) under uncultured fungus. RNAcentral describes it as "SSU rRNA". It matches the Rfam family "Eukaryotic small subunit ribosomal RNA", at positions 329 to 1059 of the family's 1831-position model. The record is from RNAcentral. Lineage: Eukaryota; Fungi.
UAGGAUAGAGGCCUACCAUGGUGGUAACGGGUAACGGGGUGUUAGGGCACGACACCGGAGAGGGAGCCUGAGAAACGGCUACCACAUCCAAGGAUGGCAGCAGGCGCGCAAAUUACCCAAUCCCGACACGGGGAGGUAGUGACAAUAAAUAACAAUACGGGGUUCUUUCGGAUCUCGUAAUUGGAAUGAGUACAAUUUAAAUCUCUUAACGAGGAACAAUUGGAGGGCAAGUCUGGUGCCAGCAGCCGCGGUAAUUCCAGCUCCAAUAGCGUAUAUUAAAGUUGUUGCAGUUAAAAAGCUCGUAGUUGAAUUUCGGGGUUAGUAGGUUGGUCAUGCCUCUGGUAUGUACUGGUCUCACUGAUUCCUCCUUCCUUAUGAACCGUAAUGCCAUUAAUUUGGUGUUGCGGGGAAUUUGGACUGUUACUUUGAAAAAAUUAGAGUGUUUAAAGCAGNCUAACGCUUGAAUACAUUAGCAUGGAAUAAUGAAAUAGGACGUUCGAUCUUAUUUUGUUGGUUUCUAGGAUUGACGUAAUGAUUAAUAGGGAUAGUUGGGGGCAUUAGUAUUCAAUUGUCAGAGGUGAAAUUCUUGGAUUUAUUGAAGACUAACUACUGCGAAAGCAUUUGCCAAGGAUGUUUUCAUUAAUCAAGAACGAAAGUUAGGGGAUCGAAGACGAUCAGAUACCGUCGUAGUCUUAACCAUAAACUAUGCCGACUAGGGAUCGGAUG